AGUCGAACGGAAAGGCCCCUUCGGGGGUACUCGAGUGGCGAACGGGUGAGUAACACGUGGGCAAUCUGCCCUGCACUUCGGGAUAAGCCUGGGAAACUGGGUCUAAUACCGGAUAGGACCUUUAGGCGCAUGUCUUUAGGUGGAAAGCUUUUGCGGUGUGGGAUGGGCCCGCGGCCUAUCAGCUUGUUGGUGGGGUGAUGGCCUACCAAGGCGACGACGGGUAGCCGGCCUGAGAGGGUGUCCGGCCACACUGGGACUGAGAUACGGCCCAGACUCCUACGGGAGGCAGCAGUGGGGAAUAUUGCACAAUGGGCGCAAGCCUGAUGCAGCGACGCCGCGUGGGGGAUGACGGCCUUCGGGUUGUAAACCUCUUUCACCAUCGACGAAGGUCCGGGUUUUCUCGGAUUGACGGUAGGUGGAGAAGAAGCACCGGCCAACUACGUGCCAGCAGCCGCGGUAAUACGUAGGGUGGCGAGCGUUGUCCGGAAUUACUGGGCGUAAAGAGCUCGUAGGUGGUUUGUCGCGUUGUUCGUGAAAUCUCACGGCUUAACUGUGAGCGUGCGGGCGAUACGGGCAGACUAGAGUACUGCAGGGGAGACUGGAAUUCCUGGUGUAGCGGUGGAAUGCGCAGAUAUCAGGAGGAACACCGGUGGCGAAGGCGGGUCUCUGGGCAGUAACUGACGCUGAGGAGCGAAAGCGUGGGGAGCGAACAGGAUUAGAUACCCUGGUAGUCCACGCCGUAAACGGUGGGUACUAGGUGUGGGUUUCCUUCCUUGGGAUCCGUGCCGUAGCUAACGCAUUAAGUACCCCGCCUGGGGAGUACGGCCGCAAGGCUAAAACUCAAAGGAAUUGACGGGGGCCCGCACAAGCGGCGGAGCAUGUGGAUUAAUUCGAUGCAACGCGAAGAACCUUACCUGGGUUUGACAUGCACAGGACGCGUCUAGAGAUAGGCGUUCCCUUGUGGCCUGUGUGCAGGUGGUGCAUGGCUGUCGUCAGCUCGUGUCGUGAGAUGUUGGGUUAAGUCCCGCAACGAGCGCAACCCUUGUCUCAUGUUGCCAGCGGGUAAUGCCGGGGACUCGUGAGAGACUGCCGGGGUCAACUCGGAGGAAGGUGGGGAUGACGUCAAGUCAUCAUGCCCCUUAUGUCCAGGGCUUCACACAUGCUACAAUGGCCGGUACAAAGGGCUGCGAUGCCGCAAGGUUAAGCGAAUCCUUUUAAAGCCGGUCUCAGUUCGGAUUGGGGUCUGCAACUCGACCCCAUGAAGUCGGAGUCGCUAGUAAUCGCAGAUCAGCAACGCUGCGGUGAAUACGUUCCCGGGCCUUGUACACACCGCCCGUCACGUCAUGAAAGUCGGUAACACCCGAAGCCAGUGGCCUAACCCUUGGGAGGGA
Molecule: ribosomal RNA, 1391 nt
Filed under: Mycobacterium intracellulare
Lineage: Bacteria; Bacillati; Actinomycetota; Actinomycetes; Mycobacteriales; Mycobacteriaceae
Description: bacterial SSU rRNA
Rfam family: Bacterial small subunit ribosomal RNA
Source: RNAcentral